Molecule: ribosomal RNA, 497 nt
Filed under: uncultured bacterium
Lineage: Bacteria
Description: partial 16S ribosomal RNA
Rfam family: Bacterial small subunit ribosomal RNA
Source: RNAcentral
GAUGAACGCUGGCGGCGUGCCUAAUACAUGCAAGUCGAGCGAACAGAUAAGGAGCUUGCUCCUUUGACGUUAGCGGCGGACGGGUGAGUAACACGUGGAUAACCUACCUAUAAGACUGGGAUAACUUCGGGAAACCGGAGCUUAUACCGGAUAACAUAUUGAACCGCAUGGUUCAAUAGUGAAAGGCGGCUUUGCUGUCACUUAUAGAUGGAUCCGCGCCGUAUUAGCUAGUUGGUAAGGUAACGGCUUACCAAGGCAACGAUACGUAGCCGACCUGAGAGAGUGAUCGGCCACACUGGAACUGAGACACGGUCCAGACGCCUACGGGAGGCAGCAGUAGGGAAUCUUCCGCAAUGGGCGAAAGCCUGACGGAGCAACGCCGCGUGAGUGAUGAAGGUCUUCGGAUCGUAAAACUCUGUUAUCAGGGAAGAACAAAUGUGUAAGUAACUGUGCACAUCUUGACGGUACCUGAUCAGAAAGCCACGGCUAACUACGUG